CAACCUGCCGUCUACUCUUGGACAGCCUUCUGAAAGGAAGAUUAAUACAAGAUGGCAUCAUGAGUCCGCAUGUUCACAUGAUUAAAGGUAUUCCGGUAGACGAUGGGGAUGCGUUCCAUUAGAUAGUAGGCGGGGUAACGGCCCACCUAGUCUUCGAUGGAUAGGGGUUCUGAGAGGAAGGUCCCCCACAUUGGAACUGAGACACGGUCCAAACUCCUACGGGAGGCAGCAGUGAGGAAUAUUGGUCAAUGGGCGAGAGCCUGAACCAGCCAAGUAGCGUGAAGGAUGACUGCCCUAUGGGUUGUAAACUUCUUUAUAAAGGAAUAAAGUCGGGUAUGGAUACCCGUUUGCAUGUACUUUAUGAAUAAGGAUCGGCUAACUCCGUGCCAGCAGCCGCGGUAUACGGAGGAUCCGAGCGUUAUCCGGAUUUAUUGGGUUUAAAGGGAGCGUAGAUGGAUGUUUAAGUCAGUUGUGAAAGUUUGCGGCUCAACCGUAAAAUUGCAGUUGAUACUGGAUAUCUUGAGUGCAGUUGAGGCAGGCGGAAUUCGUGGUGUAGCGGUGAAAUGCUUAGAUAUCACGAAGAACUCCGAUUG
This 593-nucleotide ribosomal RNA is filed under the name uncultured Bacteroidota bacterium. RNAcentral's name for it is "bacterial SSU rRNA". It matches the Rfam family "Bacterial small subunit ribosomal RNA", at positions 122 to 715 of the family's 1533-position model. The record is from RNAcentral. Lineage: Bacteria; Pseudomonadati; Bacteroidota.